CCUACGGGAGGCAGCAGUGGGGAAUAUUGCGCAAUGGGGGAAACCCUGACGCAGCAACGCCGCGUGAGUGAGGAAGGACUUCGGUCUGUAAAGCUCUGUUAAUGUGGAAAAAUGGUAGUUGGUCUAAUAGGCCGAUUAUUUGAUGGUACACAUAGAGGAAGCACCGGCUAACUUCGUGCCAGCAGCCGCGGUAAUACGAAGGGUGCAAGCGUUGUUCGGAUUUAUUGGGCGUAAAGCGCGCGUAGGCGGACCUGCAAGUCAGAUGUGAAAUCUCGGGGCUCAACCUCGAAACUGCGUCUGAAACUACAGGUCUAGAAUCUCGGAGGGGGAAGGGGAAUUUCGCAUGUAGGGGUAAAAUCCGUAGAUAUGCGAAGGAACACCAGAGGCGAAGGCGCCUUCCUAGACGAGUAUUGACGCUGAGGCGCGAAAGCGUGGGGAUCAAACAGGAUUAGAUACCCUGGUAGUCCACGCUGUAAACGAUGAACACUAGGUAUUGGAGGAUUUGACCCCUUCAGUGCCGUAGCUAACGCGUUAAGUGUUCCGCCUGGGAAGUACGGUCGCAAGACAAAACUCAAAUGAAUGACGG
RNAcentral lists this ribosomal RNA (586 nucleotides) under uncultured bacterium. Its description in RNAcentral is "bacterial SSU rRNA". It matches the Rfam family "Bacterial small subunit ribosomal RNA", at positions 338 to 916 of the family's 1533-position model. The record is from RNAcentral.